UACAGAGGUCUCAAGCGUUGUUCGGAUUCAUUGGGCGUAAAGGGUGCGUAGGUGGCGCCGUAAGUCGGGUGUGAAAUUUCGGAGCUUAACUCCGAAACUGCAUUCGAUACUGCGGUGCUUGAGGACUGGAGAGGAGACUGGAAUUUAUGGUGUAGCAGUGAAAUGCAUAGAGAUCAUAAGGAAGACCAGUGGCGAAGGCGGGUCUCUGGACAGUUCCUGACACUGAGGCACGAAGGCCAGGGGAGCAAACGGG
RNAcentral lists this ribosomal RNA (253 nucleotides) under uncultured bacterium. Its description in RNAcentral is "partial 16S ribosomal RNA". It matches the Rfam family "Bacterial small subunit ribosomal RNA", at positions 524 to 776 of the family's 1533-position model. The record is from RNAcentral.